Molecule: ribosomal RNA, 519 nt
Filed under: uncultured eukaryote
Lineage: Eukaryota
Description: SSU rRNA
Rfam family: Eukaryotic small subunit ribosomal RNA
Source: RNAcentral
AGGGCACCACCAGGAGUGGAGCCUGCGGCUCAAUUUGACUCAACACGGGAAACCUCACCAGGCCCAGACACCGGGAGGAUUGACAGAUUGAGGGCUCUUUCUUGAUUCGGUGGGUGGUGGUGCAUGGCCGUUCUUAGUUGGUGGAGCGAUUUGUCUGGUUAAUUCCGAUAACGAACGAGACUCUAGCCUGCUAAAUAGUCGCAUCCGGUAUCCUCUGUGCUACCGGCGACCAACAAUCUUCUUAGAGGGACAGGCGGCUUCUAGCCGCACGAGAUUGAGCAAUAACAGGUCUGUGAUGCCCUUAGACGUUCUGGGCCGCACGCGCGCUACACUGAGGGAAUCAGCGUGUCCUCCCUGGCCGAAAGGUCCGGGUAACCCGCUGAACCUCCUUCGUGCUAGGGAUUGGGGCUUGCAAUUGCUCCCCAUGAACGAGGAAUUCCCAGUAAGCGCGAGUCAUAAGCUCGCGUUGAUUACGUCCCUGCCCUUUGUACACACCGCCCGUCGCUACUACCGAUUGAA